This is a long non-coding RNA of Xiphophorus maculatus (southern platyfish), 1532 nucleotides long. RefSeq lists it as uncharacterized. The transcript is spliced from 7 exons. NCBI's taxonomy places the organism in Eukaryota, Metazoa, Chordata, Actinopteri, Cyprinodontiformes, Poeciliidae. The record is from RefSeq and is a predicted model, not a curated record.
ACGCAGGCCUAGUUGCUAAUUUUAGCCGCUGCCUGUCCGACGGAGGCAGGGUGAGACUGCAGAGAGCCCAUUCAUUGUACCGGGGCGGGACCGACUAUUUUAACGCCACGAUUGUGAUCCUGCCAAGCCAAAUAUAGUCGUAGACAGGUAUUUUUAGGCACAGAGUGUGUCCCCGGUUCUCUCAUCUGGCAAAGCGCGGCGUAUAUUGUAGCGUCUGAAAUGAGCCGCGGCUCUGAAAGUGUAAAGCUGUUUUUCGGCUGGAUAGUUUUACAGUCAGCUGAUAGCAGCCAUACCCCGGAGAGAGGGAGAGGGAGAGAGGGACUGACGGGGGUAAAUCCCAGUAACCCCACAGGUUUCCCCUCACUCCGGGGGAAAGGGUGGAAAAGAGCGUAGAUCCGAAGAUAAAUAGCCGGCAAGUCUUCACACAGACACAGUCAACAGACGCUUGAAAAUAACCACAUUACAGAGCACCAGCUGCACUUCAGCUUUCUGAGCCUCGUCUGAAGGGGUAAAAAAAAGAAGAUAAAUAAGAAGAUCCCAACAAACCCACACCUCACCCUGAAGCUGCCUGAAGAUUAUGGAUUGAGGAAGGGGCCAUUAUCCAUUCAUUCUGACAUGCCUGGGCUCAAAUGUCUGCAAGCCCUGAAGUGGUUAUCCUGAUGACUGCCGGAGCAUUAAGAGGGAACUCCCUACUGGGAGACGCAGCAGGUUUCUGCUUUUGGGCGUCCCUCACUUGGUCAUCAAACGCGGAUCAAUUUCAGCCGCAUGUCCAUCCAUUUCAUGCUUUACCAACCAGGACUGAGAUCAGGGAGUUUUUAAUGAUGGACAGAGAAACAUUGAUUCUCAAGAAACUACUUAUAGUUCUAUGUUUUACCCUUCGGUGACAGCCUGCCCAGAAAACUGGAGAAAUUUGCCCACAAGUGCCUUCCUUCGUUCCUUCCUACAACUACCCAUCCAUUCAUCCAACCUGUCUACAAAGGCCUGUCAUAACAAAUGAAGAUCCAACACGAUCGAUGAAGAACAGCUCAUAGAAAACUGUUCAAACCAUCAUGUGAACACGGUAAGAAAAUGCCCUCCACUCAAACUGGCCAACAUUCUACAGCUCAGGUGGGAGAAUCUGUUGAUUAAAAUCAUAAAUUUCCUCCUGCAUAUCACCUUGAUCCACACUGUGAGACAUGGUAGUGGCAGCAUCAUGCAGCUGUGUUAACCUCUGUCUGUCUUCAGUGGGGCUGAAAACAACCACACGCUUCACUUUUCAUAUUUUUACAGCAAAGAAAAAAUCAAAAUCCAUGCUUCCUUUUCCUUUCUCUUCCCACAUUUACAACUUUAUGUUGGUUUUACACAAAACAAUUUUAACAAAAUGCAAGUUCAUGGUUGUAACAAUAAGAAGCAUGGAAAAGAAUAAGAAAAGCUUUCCUCACUGCUCGACCGCUGAAGGAAACAGCAAGUUGACGGGUGUAGAUGCUGCCAUGAGGAGUUAGAAACUACAGGUUGCAGCAACAGAGGCGGCAACAGUUCUCCACACUCUGCCU